This 497-nucleotide ribosomal RNA is filed under the name uncultured bacterium. RNAcentral's name for it is "partial 16S ribosomal RNA". It matches the Rfam family "Bacterial small subunit ribosomal RNA", at positions 28 to 507 of the family's 1533-position model. The record is from RNAcentral.
GAUGAACGCUGGCGGCGUGCCUAAUACAUGCAAGUCGAUCGAACAGACGAGGAGCUUGCUCCUCUGACGUUAGCGGCGGACGGGUGAGUAACACGUGGAUAACCUACCUAUAAGACUGGGAUAACUUCGGGAAACCGGAGCUAAUAUCGGAUAAUAUAUUGAACCGCAUGGUUCAAUAGUGAAAGACGGUUUUGCUGUCACUUAUAGAUGGAUCCGCGCCGCAUUAGCUAGUUGGUAAGGUAACGGCUUACCAAGGCAACGAUGCGUAGCCGACCUGAGAGGGUGAUCGGCCACACUGGAACUGAGACACGGUCCAGACUCCUACGGGAGGCAGCAGUAGGGAAUCUUCCGCAAUGGGCGAAAGCCUGACGGAGCAACGCCGCGUGAGUGAUGAAGGUCUUCGGAUCGUAAAACUCUGUUAUUAGGGAAGAACAAAUGUGUAAGUAACUAUGCACGUCUUGACGGUACCUAAUCAGAAAGCCACGGCUAACUACGUG